Punica granatum (pomegranate) is the source of this 1356-nucleotide non-coding RNA. The record is from RefSeq and is a predicted model, not a curated record. NCBI's taxonomy places the organism in Eukaryota, Viridiplantae, Streptophyta, Magnoliopsida, Myrtales, Lythraceae.
CUUGUUUUUCCGAUGAUGCGAGCUCAGAAAUAGAGAGUUUCUCUUGAGCUGAAACAAAUGGUUUCCGUUCUCCUCUCAGGGAGUUGUACCCAGCAAGUUCUGUCGGGCCUGACUGAGGAGAAGGUACUUGACAUCCUUUGAGGGGUUCUGAACAUUAGGUGAACAAUAGCAUUGCCUGUUAAAGGUGAAGCAUCAACUGUCAGCUUUGGAACUACUGGUUUAUUUCAUAAAAUGGGGAAAAUUAAGCAGGGGCAGAAUGGCAGUACCACUAGAUAUCGUCAACGAUGCAAGUUGAUGAUGAUCCAGGGGUGGUAAUAGCGGCUGUUGAUAGGUGAUCUUUGAUAAGAGAUGCCAACUGGGACGUCAGAGCUUGUGGUUCAGCACCUGAUCCAAUAAGCUCCGCGGUGUACCUGCAGAGACAUGAGAACUACUCUGUCAAUGAAUGAGCACUUAAAUGGAGAGAAGAAGAAAGAAGAAAGUUCUCCAAAAGUACCCACAAUUUGUUGAACCAUCGAGGCAGCCCCUCUGCCCCCAUUGUUAUGAGGACGAAUACUAUGGUGGACCCAUUCGGCCCCUCUGCUAUGCUCAACAGUUCAUCCCAAGCUUCCACGGUCAAUAGAUGACAUUCUUCGAGGAUAAAAACUUUCAGACCUGAGGCUUCGAGAGCAACCCCUGCAACUCCAGCAUGGCCUAGUGGGUGAAUUAGAUUCACAGUUGAGUGCCAUGGCCAGAAUUCUUGCUGUCGAAGACUUCCCUGUCCCACUAGGACCAUGGAACAGGAGUUUUGGGGACGCGGUUUGGGAAUGGCAGCUCUGCAGCUUUGGAAGCCAUAGCGCUAUUGAUCAAAGGAAUCGGGAGAGGGGAGGCAGUCUUACGCUGCUUUUGUGCUACUACUCAAACAGGACAUUGUCGGCUGCACAGUGAAGUAAUGCUAGCGUAUACCUCCAAAGAUAUGUUGGGUCCAGGUCGCAGGGCUCACUUACAUACGUAGCUGCUUGAGGGUUGCUCUCUUAAUUCUCGGUUUCUUGGAUCCUUCCCCCUUGGAAUCGAGCAGUGGAGUUGGAUUCCUCGUAUUCAAGAUUGGCCAAACCCCCAAUUUGAGAGAAUAAAGAAUGAGGUAUGAGCCUGCUUUUUGUCCAAAUAGAAGAGAAUCUCUUUUCGAUCAAUCCACUAAGCCGCUCCAUCGGAACGUAAUUCGUAUCCUUGUUUUAUCAAAGAUAACAUCAAAGGUUUUUUUUUUUCUUUCUUUUUUUGCUGGUGCUUGUUUGAAUUUAUUUUUUAGCAGUGUUUAUUAAUAUAAAGAGUAAAGUAAACUAUCAAAAUGGACUAGUUUGAUCCUCAAAUUUUUUUUUACCA